This 29-nucleotide non-coding RNA is filed under the name Homo sapiens (human). Lineage: Eukaryota; Metazoa; Chordata; Mammalia; Primates; Hominidae. The record is from RNAcentral.
UCAAGUAUGUGAUGGUUCCUUACCUGUGC